Molecule: small RNA, 717 nt
Filed under: Pan troglodytes (chimpanzee)
Lineage: Eukaryota; Metazoa; Chordata; Mammalia; Primates; Hominidae
Description: processed transcript
Source: RNAcentral
AGAGUACGGGUGAGUGAAAUUUGUAAGGUUUGGUGUGUUCAUUUGAGUGGGUGCCAGACGUAAUGGGCCCGGGAUUGAAUUAGUUUAGAUCAAAAUUUGAUGUAAUUAUCGCAGAGAAACGCUUUCUUACGAGUGUUUAUCUCGAGCCUGCUGUGUUCAGCAUCUUUCUUGGUGUUUUGGGAGAAGCAGACAGGAGUUAAGUCCAAGUCCCCGCCCUCACAGAGCUCAGGUGGCUUGGGGGAAGGUUGGUGCGCAAACAUUAAAAUUAGAUAUAGACACUAGUGAGUGUCCCCGUCAAGAGGUCUGUGAAAUAAGGUUGAGCCUACGAUGCAGAAGUUAAUCUCCCAGCAAGUUGUCAAAUUCCCUAGUUGAAUUUGCUUUGGACAUCAGUGUGAAGCAGAACUGAUAUGCCACUUGAAUUAAUAAAGGAAGUCAAUGGGGUGCCUGAAGUUCAGCCACUGAGUAAAUUACAUAAAGUAGAUUUCGGAUCCCUACAGCCAGGUUACAAUUAUAGCAAGAAAUAUAUUCAGGGAAAACUUUCACUUAUCUCUUCUUUAACUUAUCGUGGAAAUAAAACAGCUGUUUUGCAGAUUGGACUACAAGGACACCAUUGCAGUGGCUAGAUUUAUUGUUUUUUUAGCUUCUUCAUCUACAAGCAGAGAUGGUAAACCUUGCAUAUUUUUGAAAGCAUUUGAAGACCUCAAAUCAACUGUUUAU